RNAcentral lists this transfer RNA (85 nucleotides) under Gammaproteobacteria bacterium. RNAcentral describes it as "tRNA-Leu". It matches the Rfam family "tRNA". From Rfam's summary of the family: Transfer RNA (tRNA) molecules are approximately 80 nucleotides in length. Their secondary structure includes four short double-helical elements and three loops (D, anti-codon, and T loops). Lineage: Bacteria; Pseudomonadati; Pseudomonadota; Gammaproteobacteria. RNAcentral also lists the same sequence under 2 other names. The record is from RNAcentral.
GCGGGGGUGGUGGAAUUGGUAGACACGCUACCUUGAGGUGGUAGUGCUUAACGGCGUGGGGGUUCAAGUCCCCCCUUCCGCACCA